UAGGGAAUCUUCGGCAAUGGGGGCAACCCUGACCGAGCAACGCCGCGUGAGUGAAGAAGGUUUUCGGAUCGUAAAGCUCUGUUGUAAGUCAAGAACGAGUGUGAGAGUGGAAAGUUCACACUGUGACGGUAGCUUACCAGAAAGGGACGGCUAACUACGUGCCAGCAGCCGCGGUAAUACGUAGGUCCCGAGCGUUGUCCGGAUUUAUUGGGCGUAAAGCGAGCGCAGGCGGUUUGAUAAGUCUGAAGUUAAAGGCUGUGGCUCAACCAUAGUUCGCUUUGGAAACUGUCAAACUUGAGUGCAGAAGGGGAGAGUGGAAUUCCAUGUGUAGCGGUGAAAUGCGUAGAUAUAUGGAAGAACACCAGUGGCGAAGGCGGCUACCUGGUCUGCAACUGACGCUGAGACUCGAAAGCAUGGGUAGCGAACAGGAUUAGAUACCCUGGUAGUCCAUGCCGUAAACGAUGAGUGCUAGGUGUUGGAGGGUUUCCGCCCUUCAGUGCCGGAGCUAACGCAUUAAGCACUCCGCCUGGGGAGUACGACCGCAAGGUUG
RNAcentral lists this ribosomal RNA (550 nucleotides) under uncultured bacterium. Its description in RNAcentral is "bacterial SSU rRNA". It matches the Rfam family "Bacterial small subunit ribosomal RNA", at positions 355 to 896 of the family's 1533-position model. The record is from RNAcentral.